RNAcentral lists this unclassified non-coding RNA (209 nucleotides) under soil metagenome. Its description in RNAcentral is "partial contains 5.8S ribosomal RNA, internal transcribed spacer 2, and large subunit ribosomal RNA". The record is from RNAcentral.
AACCAUAGAAACCUGCGGAGUACCUGCGGAAGGAUCAUUACCGAGUUACACAACUCAUCAACCCCUGUGAACUUACCUACAACGUUGCUUCGGCGGGAACAGACGGCCCCGUAAAACGGGCCGCCCCCGCCAGAGGACCCCUAACUCUGUUUUUAUAAUGUUUUUCUGAGUAAACAAGCAAAUAAAUUAAAACUUUCAACAAUGGAUCU